UUCCAGACUCCUACGGGAGGCAGCAGUGAGGAAUAUUGGUCAAUGGCCGAGAGGCUGAACCAGCCAAGUCGCGUGAGGGAAGACGGCCCUACGGGUUGUAAACCUCUUUUGUCGGGGAGCAAAGAGAGUCACGUGUGACUCAUUGAGAGUACCCGAAGAAAAAGCAUCGGCUAACUCCGUGCCAGCAGCCGCGGUAAUACGGAGGAUGCGAGCGUUAUCCGGAUUUAUUGGGUUUAAAGGGUGCGUAGGCGGUCCGUUAAGUCAGCGGUAAAAUUGCGGGGCUCAACCCCGUCGAGCCGUUGAAACUGGCAGACUUGAGUUGGCGAGAAGUACGCGGAAUGCGCGGUGUAGCGGUGAAAUGCAUAGAUAUCGCGCAGAACUCCGAUUGCGAAGGCAGCGUACCGGCGCCAGACUGACGCUGAGGCACGAAAGCGUGGGUAUCGAACAGGAUUAGAUACCCGGGUA
This 465-nucleotide ribosomal RNA is filed under the name uncultured bacterium. Its description in RNAcentral is "bacterial SSU rRNA". It matches the Rfam family "Bacterial small subunit ribosomal RNA", at positions 329 to 792 of the family's 1533-position model. The record is from RNAcentral.